RNAcentral lists this long non-coding RNA (974 nucleotides) under Anser cygnoides (Swan goose). RNAcentral describes it as "lncRNA (ENSACDG00005012517.1)". The record is from RNAcentral. Lineage: Eukaryota; Metazoa; Chordata; Aves; Anseriformes; Anatidae.
GCUUAAUCAAGGCGGAUGAAGAAAGUUGUACUCUAUGCAUCACUGAAAAUAUCCAAGGGAAAGGGAAAAGAAAUACCAGCUUAUAUAAAAAGAUAACUUGGCCAGAAGAAGAUAUCAGGAACAAUAUCAGGAAUCUUUCUGGAGCAUUUCAUAGAAUUACAUCAGAAUCUGAUAUGGAAAGUUUUUUUUUAUUCAUUUUCUCUGUGUUAGAUUUAUUUUCUGGAAUUCUGUCGAAUGAUAAAAAAAAUACAUUUUCUCUAUUGUUUUGUUCUUAUUUAUAGAAGUCAUUAAAAUUUAAAAGGUUUGAAAUUAAUUAAAAUUAAUCAGAUAGUUGAAGAUCAUUUAAAGACCUUUCUUGGAAGGGCACUUCAAAUUGUGUCUGAACUACUUUGGCCUUUUCAAUGAUAAUUUAGGAGCAAGAAGUAAUAUCCUUAUGUUCCACUCCUAGAUGGAAUGUUAAACAGUGUCGUCUUGGGGAAGUAAAAUACAUCCUUUUUGUAGGAAAUAAAUUUUCUUUCAGUUUUGUCUGAUAUGGGCCCUGCUAUCUUGGGAAAGUUAUGGAGGGAACACAGAAGGCUUGUGAGACCUCAGAAGAAAUGAUUGGCCAGAUCCCCUUCUGUGACUGGCAGUAUUUCCAUGCUACCACCGAUUCCAGUUGUGCCAACCACAUUGGGCCCAGGGCUGUGAAAACAAAGACCCGGUGUAUUUACUUUUUGAUCACAGUGAAAAGCAUGAUGGGGUGGUCAAAUGCGUGUUAAGUUCUUCAUGCCUUAAUUUAUUGAAACUCCACGGUUGGGGCCAAGGAGUACUCUGUUGUUUUGUUCAUUAAAGCCACACAAUCUGCAGCAGGAAGUAAAAUAGAAAUUCAAAACAAGAAUUCUCAAGAAGGUAAUCACUGUUUAUAGAUGGCAAAGUAAAAUCAAAACUACACAGACUACUGACACUAAUAAAAAUUCAAAAAAAAAUCUCUCUCA